RNAcentral lists this transfer RNA (64 nucleotides) under Typhlatya taina. RNAcentral's name for it is "tRNA-His". It matches the Rfam family "tRNA". From Rfam's summary of the family: Transfer RNA (tRNA) molecules are approximately 80 nucleotides in length. Their secondary structure includes four short double-helical elements and three loops (D, anti-codon, and T loops). Further hydrogen bonds mediate the characteristic L-shaped molecular structure. tRNAs have two regions of fundamental functional importance: the anti-codon, which is responsible for specific mRNA codon recognition, and the 3' end, to which the tRNAs corresponding amino acid is attached (by aminoacyl-tRNA synthetases). tRNAs cope with the degeneracy of the genetic code in two manners: having more than one tRNA (with a specific anti-codon) for a particular amino acid; and 'wobble' base-pairing, i.e. permitting non-standard base-pairing at the 3rd anti-codon position. The record is from RNAcentral. Lineage: Eukaryota; Metazoa; Arthropoda; Malacostraca; Decapoda; Atyidae.
ACUUAAGUAAUUUAAUAAAAAUAUUGGUCUGUGGAUCCAAAAAUGUGUUAAAGCGCCUUAGGUA